Molecule: ribosomal RNA, 764 nt
Filed under: uncultured Bacteroidota bacterium
Lineage: Bacteria; Pseudomonadati; Bacteroidota
Description: bacterial SSU rRNA
Rfam family: Bacterial small subunit ribosomal RNA
Source: RNAcentral
AGGGGUAUAGUUCUUCGGAACUAGAGACCGGCGCACGGGUGCGUAACGCGUAUGCAAUCUACCUUUUACAGAGGGAUAGCCCAGAGAAAUUUGGAUUAAUACCUCAUAGUAUGUGAGAAUCGCAUGGUUUUCACAUUAAAGUUCCAACGGUAAAAGAUGAGCAUGCGUCCCAUUAGCUAGAUGGUAAGGUAACGGCUUACCAUGGCGACGAUGGGUAGGGGUCCUGAGAGGGAGAUCCCCCACACUGGUACUGAGACACGGACCAGACUCCUACGGGAGGCAGCAGUGAGGAAUAUUGGACAAUGGGCGCAAGCCUGAUCCAGCCAUGCCGCGUGCAGGAUGACGGUCCUAUGGAUUGUAAACUGCUUUUGUACAGGAAGAAACACUCCCUCGUGAGGGAGCUUGACGGUACUGUAAGAAUAAGGAUCGGCUAACUCCGUGCCAGCAGCCGCGGUAAUACGGAGGAUCCAAGCGUUAUCCGGAAUCAUUGGGUUUAAAGGGUCCGUAGGCGGUUUAAUAAGUCAGUGGUGAAAGCCCAUCGCUCAACGGUGGAACGGCCAUUGAUACUGUUAAACUUGAAUUAUUAGGAAGUAACUAGAAUAUGUAGUGUAGCGGUGAAAUGCUUAGAGAUUACAUGGAAUACCAAUUGCGAAGGCAGGUUACUACUAAUGGAUUGACGCUGAUGGACGAAAGCGUGGGUAGCGAACAGGAUUAGAUACCCUGGUAGUCCACGCCGUAAACGAUGGAUACUAGCUGUUGGGAGC